UGUCUACUGUUAUGAGAGAGAGAGUCAAUACAACACUUAUUUUUUGAUUGUGUUGUUGCAAAACAAAUUUGGAAUUCUAUUUCAGACUUCUUCUCCUGUACCCUGGGAUCUGAUUACCUUUCCAUUGCUAAAUUUUGGCUAGCCAAUAAGAUGCACACUGCUCUAAAUUCUGUUUGUGCAUGUGUAUUAUGGGCUAUCUGGAAACAUAGGAAUUCCUGUAUCUUUAAGAAUGUAAUGUGGAUUGAUUUGAAACAGAUCUAGAACCUGGUGCUGGGGCUCUUGAGGAGAUGGCUGAUCCUUCUCAAAGAUGUAGCUCGACUAAAGAUGGAGGAAUUCAUGACAAGGGUUUCCUUGAUACUGAACACUCCUUUCCAGCUCACAACGGGGUAA
Molecule: ribosomal RNA, 390 nt
Filed under: Triticum aestivum (bread wheat)
Lineage: Eukaryota; Viridiplantae; Streptophyta; Magnoliopsida; Poales; Poaceae
Description: partial small subunit ribosomal RNA
Source: RNAcentral